UGGGGAAUUUUGGACAAUGGGCGAAAGCCUGAUCCAGCAAUGCCGCGUGUGUGAAGAAGGCCUUCGGGUUGUAAAGCACUUUUGUCCGGAAAGAAAUCCUUGGCUCUAAUACAGUCGGGGGAUGACGGUACCGGAAGAAUAAGCACCGGCUAACUACGUGCCAGCAGCCGCGGUAAUACGUAGGGUGCAAGCGUUAAUCGGGAAUUACUGGGCGUAAAGCGUGCGCAGGCGGUUUGCUAAGACCGAUGUGAAAUCCCCGGGCUCAACCUGGGAACUGCAUUGGUGACUGGCAGGCUAGAGUAUGGCAGAGGGGGGUAGAAUUCCACGUGUAGCAGUGAAAUGCGUAGAGAUGUGGAGGAAUACCGAUGGCGAAGGCAGCCCCCUGGGCCAAUACUGACGCUCAUGCACGAAAGCGUGGGGAGCAAACAGGAUUAGAUACCCUGGUAGUCCACGCCCUAAACGAUGUCAACUAGUUGUUGGGGAUUCAUUUCCUUAGUAACGUAGCUAACGCGUGAAGUUGACCGCCUGGGGAGUACGGUCGCAAGAUUAAAACUCAAAUGAAUUGACGGGGUCAUAGCUG
RNAcentral lists this ribosomal RNA (580 nucleotides) under uncultured bacterium. RNAcentral's name for it is "partial 16S ribosomal RNA". It matches the Rfam family "Bacterial small subunit ribosomal RNA", at positions 355 to 932 of the family's 1533-position model. The record is from RNAcentral.